Molecule: long non-coding RNA, 2414 nt
Filed under: Carassius auratus (goldfish)
Lineage: Eukaryota; Metazoa; Chordata; Actinopteri; Cypriniformes; Cyprinidae
Description: lncRNA (ENSCARG00000015080.1)
Rfam family: Histone 3' UTR stem-loop (bases 2372-2414)
Source: RNAcentral
AUGCUUUUGUGGUUUAUAAAGUCUUUUUACAUACAAAUUAUAAUUCAAAAUGUGUUUUUUUUCCUGUCAGAAAAGCGCAUGGAUACAUUUGUGAGAGAAAAACUGGUCGAGUGCAGUCUUAUUGAGGCGUCUAACGGUCACCGUGGCCACCAGAUCCAGUCUGUGUCCAGAUCAGAGGGUCACUGCAGUCACCCGGAUCCAGUACGUAUCCAGACUAGAUGGUGGAUCAGCACCUAGAAAGGACCUCUACUGCCCUGAAAGACAGCGGAGACCAGGACAACUAGAGCCCCAGAUACAGAUCCCCUGUAAAGACCUUGUCUCAGAGGAGCACCAGGACAAGACCACAGGAAACAGAUGAUUCUUCUGCACAAUCUGACUUUGCUGCAGCCUGGAAUUGAACUACUGGUUUCGUCCGGUCAGAGGAGAACUGACCCCCAACUGAGCCUGGUUUCUCCCAAGGUUUUUUUCUCCAUUCUGUCAACGAUGGAGUUUUUGUUCCUUGUUUUUCUUUAGUUGGGGACAAUUAAUAUCAAGCGAUAUCAUCCACUUGAUUGCACAGAGGGACGAUACAUCACUGAAUCAAUGACGAAUUGACUUUAACUGAAAACUGAGUGUUUACUUUUGUCCCUUUGCAUUAUUACACACUAUUUUCCUAUUCAAUACUGUAAAGCUGCUAUGAUGCAGUAUUUGAUCGAUAUGACAGGCUUAUUACUCAUAAUACAUGGAAAAUACAGCUACAAACUGACUUUGUUUUUCCAUUUGAAAUUUGGCAGUCACUAAACUGAAACCGUAAUUUUUGUUCAGUGUUUUUGAAACAGUGUUUUUGUUCAAGAUUUGCAAUUGUGUUUGGAUUGUCACAAUUUGUCACAAUCCAAAUGUGGAAAACGCAAUUGAAAAUAUAAUUAGCAAUUCCUUUCGAAAAUUGUCCUUCCAUAGACAGGCUCUAUAAUGGAGUACACUGCUCUGAGGUGUAGAUCUUUGCUUCAGAGCUUAAGUGUUUGACAAUAGUUCACCCAAAAAUGAAAAUUGUCACUAAUUAUUCACCCUGGUCUGAAAGCUCUCGAAUAUCAACGAAAAUAUCUUAACUUGUGUUCUGAAGAUGAACGAAGGGCUUACGGGUUUGUAACGACAUGAAGUUGAGUAAUAAAUGACAGAAUUUUCAUUUUUGGGUGAACUAUAUGUUGAACUACCCUAAGCAGUGCACAUCUACCUACGUAGGAGUCUUUAUAUACUUGAUAUAAAUUUAAGGACAUCUUUAAAUGAUUUUACAUUUAAAUUUAAAAAUGUUAAUUGUCAAUGUCAUUUCACUGUGUAUUUAAAUAGCUAAAAAUCUCAAAAUGUAAUAGUUAAACAGCUAGACACAGGUCAUUCAGAAAUAAUUUUCUUAUUUAUUGCAACUGUAUUUCUGUGAUUUUUAUUUAUUUAUUUUGCAUUUGCUGGAAACAAAAAAAGGGAAAAUUCCAUGUUGUUUGUCAUUGCUAAAAAUUUUUUGAAUGUCAGAUGGCAUUAAAAAUAUUUUUUAACAGUCUAAAUAACCUGUAUUCUUCAUUAUUUAUUAAUCCAUGAUUGCUUUGUUAAGCAAAAGUGAAAUUAUGAGAAUAACCCAGCAAGAAUAACCCAGAAUCAUAAAAAUGCAAACCCACAAAUGGUAAAAAUGACUCUAUCUUGGGUUUUCUCAAUAACCCAGCAUGCUGGGUUAAAAUGUGUAAACCAGCAUGCUGGGUUACUUUAACCCAGCAUGUGUUCUGUCCAAUAUUUACCCUGUGCUGGGUUGCCAAUUGGGUUAUUUUUAACCCAGCCAUUUUUAGAGUGCACAUUUCACAUUUUUAUCACUAUCUGCAUGUCUCAUCCACGAGUUUGCAAUGUUGGAGAGCAAGCAUUUGGGAGUUUUGCGAAGCUGAGUGAGCAAUAAAGCUAUAGUGAGUCCCUUAAAAAAAUUAAAUAAAUGAGGAAUAAUACAAAAAUGGUCAAAUUCACUCAGUAUUAAUGAUCUAAUUCACAAAUAUCUCAAUUACAGUUGAGUAGAAAUUAGUUGUACUCAGAUGUGUUUUAUGCACUAAGACAGUCAUGUACAUUAUAGUCAAACACAUUUUUAUAUUGAAAUACUGAAGAUUUAUGUGCCACCCCAGACUGGUUGCUGGCCCCUCCCUGCUACCCCUAUGAAAACAUCCUGGCUCCGCCAAAUUAAUUCUUUAAAGUCGCGAAUUUUACCUAAGCGUGAAUGAAUUAUGUUUAUCUUAAUGAGCAAACAUUAGCUACAUCAGCGGACAGACGAGACAUUAUUAAUAUAUAAUAUCAUAUAUAUAAUAUAUAAUAGCAGUAGCAUGGCAGCAGACAGAAUAGUGUUUGAAGUCCUACUCAUGACUUCCCCUCAACGGCUCUUUUAAGAGCCACCCACAAACCUAUAAAGAACA